This 68-nucleotide transfer RNA is filed under the name Marmota monax (woodchuck). RNAcentral's name for it is "tRNA.Ala". Lineage: Eukaryota; Metazoa; Chordata; Mammalia; Rodentia; Sciuridae. The record is from RNAcentral.
GGAUAUAACUCAGGUGGUAGAGUGCUUGCCUUGCAUGAACAAGGCCCUGGGUUCGAUCCCCGGCACCA